GUUCCUGUGGUCAAGUGGUAUGACGAAACGUUGUGGAGCGUGCUGUCUGAGAAAACUUCGGCGUAUAGCGCCGUUUCGGCCCGUGUUCGAUUCACGGCGGGGACA
Molecule: non-coding RNA, 105 nt
Organism: Kockovaella imperatae
Lineage: Eukaryota; Fungi; Basidiomycota; Tremellomycetes; Tremellales; Cuniculitremaceae
Source: the annotation of a RefSeq genome assembly